GAUGAACGCUAGCUACAGGCUUAACACAUGCAAGUCGAGGGGUAACGAGAGGAAAGCUUGCUUUCCUUGUCGACGACCGGCGCACGGGUGAGUAACGCGUAUCCAACCUGCCCCCAACUAGGGAAUAACCUUGCGAAAGUAAGACUAAUACCCUAUAAUUUCCUCAGAUGUCAUCUGACGAGGAAUAAAGAUUUAUCGGUUGUGGAUGGGGAUGCGUCUGAUUAGCUUGUUGGCGGGGUAACGGCCCACCAAGGCAACGAUCAGUAGGGGUUCUGAGGGGAAGGUCCCCCACAUGGGAACUGAGACACGGUCCAAACUCCUACGGGAGGCAGCAGUGAGGAAUAUUGGUCAAUGGGCGAAAGCCUGAACCAGCCAAGUAGCGUGCAGGAUGACGGCCCUAUGGGUUGUAAACUGCUUUUAUACAGGAAUAAAGUUAGCCACGUGUGGUUAUUUGUAGGUACUGUAUGAAUAAGGACCGGCUAAUUCCGUGCCAGCAGCCGCGGUAA
Molecule: ribosomal RNA, 506 nt
Filed under: uncultured bacterium
Lineage: Bacteria
Description: partial 16S ribosomal RNA
Rfam family: Bacterial small subunit ribosomal RNA
Source: RNAcentral